RNAcentral lists this non-coding RNA (27 nucleotides) under Mus musculus (house mouse). The record is from RNAcentral. Lineage: Eukaryota; Metazoa; Chordata; Mammalia; Rodentia; Muridae.
UCCUUCCAAGCAUCAGGGCAAAAAGAG